GUAAAACACGGGGAAAACGUAAAAUACGGGAAAUACAUAGCAGCAAAACUGUUGAUGGGACCUGAUGAAAGAACGUUAAAUGCAGGGGAAACGUAGAUUCGGGGGCGUAAAAUACGGGUUUCACUGAUAAUAUGAAUAGAUCACAUUUUAAAACAUGUGCAUAUGCUUGUGGUGUCUUAAUGUUUCUUUCCCUUAAAACAUCAUGUUUAUAACUCCUACUAAUAACAUUCAAACCAGGGUUUUGUCAGGAGUCACCUAGGGAGAGGGGUCAGGGCGAGACUGCGCCACUGAAAUUUUCAGGGGGUGUUUUGAGGGGUAUUCUCUUAUUUGACGACUCUCACUCUGAGGGGAUCUUUCUGGUUUUGGGGCGGGGAGUACGCCAAGUAAUGCAUAAAUUUACUUGAAUGUUGUGCAGCUAUUUCUAAAACGGCAAGCACAUUUAUUUCCUAUUUGUUAUUAUCUAUUAUGUGGGUGGUAUUAUGUGGAUAUAUAUGUUCAUAUAAUAUCUCUUCAUGGUUUAGUUUAAGAUUUUAAAUAUUAAUAUAGGAACUUCACGUCCUAGAAUGAGGAGGAAUUUCUUUUGCGCACCGAAACUACUUAUUUCACCAAGAACUCGCUCUUUAAACUUUGUGUUCAAAACGCGUAAAUAUACGAGUAAACUUUAAAUAUUUAACGUGGCAUCAGCAAACAAAAGCAUAUGCCUCAUUUUAAGUUUUAAACUAGGAUUAGAUAAUUAAGUUUCAGCAUGGUAAAUCAUGCUUACCUCACCUGUGGUUAAGAUCGAUUAAUCCUCGUUUGACAUCAAAAUUAAUUACGUUAAGUAAAGUUAUUGCUCUUUCUUAUGAUGAACUAAAGCAACGUAAAUUUCUUAUUUGGUUGCUGCCAAGGUAGGCGAUUUAAUUAUAGUGGGGUGUUUAUAGUUAUAAUAUAUAUUUUUUUAUUUCUUUUAUUUGAAAAAAAAAAAACUUAUAACAGAUAAACACACUGAAGGAAUAUUUUCAGCCCUUUGAAGAUCAUAAGCUUUGGUGGAAAUUAGCGAUGGCUUCAGAAAUUAAGAUAAAUAAAUGAGAAAUAAAACUUAAUUUGAAUUUUGACAUCUGGAAUUCAAAUUAUGUUUUUCGCAAUCACGAGUGUGUGUGUAUGUAGGCGUGUGUGUUUGUGUCUGUGUGCAGGCAUGAGUGUGUGGGUAGUUGUGUAUGUGUAGGUAGCUGUAUGUAUGUGUUUGUGUGUAGGUGUAUGCAUGUGUGUGUAUGUGUUUGUGUGUAUGUGUGUGUAUGUGUUUGUUUGUACGUGCGUGUAUGUAUGCGUGUAAGUGUAGGAUAUUGACCCAACCUGGAGAAGGCUUUCGCUAGAAGAGCAGCAUCGUGAGGAGCCGGUCGAUGGUGAUGUUGCAGAGAGUGCUGGCGGGAAAAUAAAAUGAUAGCACAUCAAAACAGUCAAAUAAAAGCAAUUGUGAUUGCUCAAAA
Long non-coding RNA from Uloborus diversus, 1466 nucleotides. RefSeq lists it as uncharacterized. The record is from RefSeq and is a predicted model, not a curated record. The transcript has 2 exons. Lineage: Eukaryota; Metazoa; Arthropoda; Arachnida; Araneae; Uloboridae.